GCAACCUUGAGCGGCGUCCGUGGAGUGCGCCUGCGCAGCUACGACCGCAGCAGGAAAGCGCCGCCGGCCAGGCCCAGCUGUGGCCGGACAGGGACUGGAAGAGAGGACGCGGUCGAGUAGGUUUUAAAACAUGAAUCCUACACUCAUCCUUGCUGCCUUUUGCCUGGGAAUUGCCUCAGCUACUCUAACAUUUGAUCACAGUUUAGAGGCACAGUGGACCAAGUGGAAGGCUGCAAUGGUGGCCUAAUGGAUUAUGCUUUCCAGUAUGUUCAGGAUAAUGGAGGCCUGGACUCUGAGGAAUCCUAUCCAUAUGAGGCAACAGAAGAAUCCUGUAAGUACAAUCCCAAGUAUUCUGUUGCUAAUGACACCGGCUUUGUGGACAUCCCUAAGCAGGAGAAGGCCCUGAUGAAGGCAGUUGCAACUGUGGGGCCCAUUUCUGUUGCUAUUGAUGCAGGUCAUGAGUCCUUCCUGUUCUAUAAAGAAGGCAUUUAUUUUGAGCCAGACUGUAGCAGUGAAGACAUGGAUCAUGGUGUGCUGGUGGUUGGCUACGGAUUUGAAAGCACAGAAUCGGAUAACAAUAAAUAUUGGCUGGUGAAGAACAGCUGGGGUGAAGAAUGGGGCAUGGGUGGCUACGUAAAGAUGGCCAAAGACCGGAGAAACCAUUGUGGAAUUGCCUCAGCAGCCAGCUACCCCACUGUGUGAGCUGGUGGACGGUGAUGAGGAAGGACUUGACUGAGGAUGGCGCAUGCAUGGGAGGAAUUCAUCUUCAGUCUACCAGCCCCCGCUGUGUCGGAUACACACUCGAAUCAUUGAAGAUCCAAGUGUGAUUUGAAUUCUGUGAUAUUUUCACACUGGUAAAUGUUACCUCUAUUUUAAUUACUGCUAUAAAUAGGUUUAUAUUAUUGAUUCACUUACUGACUUUGCAUUUUCAUUUUUAAAAGGAUGUAUAAAUUUUUACCUGUUUAAAUAAAAUUUAAUUUCAAAUGUA
This 988-nucleotide small RNA is filed under the name Pan troglodytes (chimpanzee). RNAcentral's name for it is "processed transcript". Lineage: Eukaryota; Metazoa; Chordata; Mammalia; Primates; Hominidae. The record is from RNAcentral.